GAUGAAGAACGCAGCAAAAUGCGAUACUUGGUGUGAAUUGCAGAAUCCCGUGAACCAUCGAGUUUUUGAACGCAAGUUGCGCCCGAAGCCAUUCGGCCGAGGGCACGUCUGCCUGGGUGUCACGCAUCGUUGCCCCCCCAAACUCCGGUUUGGGCGGGGCGGAAGUUGGCCUCCCGUGCGUGCCUGCGCGCGCGGUUAGCCCAAAAGCGAGUCCUCGGCGACGAGCGCCACGACAAUCGGUGGUUUUUUUACCCUCGUUCCUCGUCGUGCGUGUCCCGUCGCCCGAACGCGCUCUUGUGACCCUCACGCGUCGCCUCAGUGGCGCUCCCAACGCGACCCCAGGUCAGGCGGGACUACCCGCUGAGUUUAAGCAUAUCAAUAAGCGGAGGA
Molecule: unclassified non-coding RNA, 390 nt
Filed under: soil metagenome
Description: partial contains 5.8S ribosomal RNA, internal transcribed spacer 2, and large subunit ribosomal RNA
Rfam family: 5.8S ribosomal RNA (bases 1-122)
Source: RNAcentral